This 586-nucleotide ribosomal RNA is filed under the name uncultured bacterium. RNAcentral's name for it is "partial 16S ribosomal RNA". It matches the Rfam family "Bacterial small subunit ribosomal RNA", at positions 355 to 1375 of the family's 1533-position model. The record is from RNAcentral.
UGGGGAAUUUUGGACAAUGGGCGAAAGCCUGAUCCAGCAAUGCCGCGUGUGUGAAGAAGGCCUUCGGGUUGUAAAGCACUUUUGUCCGGAAAGAAAUCCUUGGCUCUAAUACAGUCGGGGGAUGACGGUACCGGAAGAAUAAGCACCGGCUAACUACGUGCCAGCAGCCGCGGUAAUACGUAGGGUGCAAGCGUUAAUCGGAAUUACUGGGCGUAAAGCGUGCGCAGGCGGUUUGCUAAGACCGAUGUGAAAUCCCCGGGCUCAACCUGGGAACUGCAUUGGUGACUGGCAGGCUAGAGUAUGGCAGAGGGGGGUAGAAUUCCACGUGUAGCAGUGAAAUGCGUAGAGAUGUGGAGGAAUACCGAUGGCGAAGGCAGCCCCCUGGGCCAAUACUGACGCUCAUGCACGAAAGGCGUGGGGAGCAAACAGGAUUAGAUACCCUGGUAGUCCACGCCCUAAACGAUGUGAACUAGUUGUUGGGGAUUCAUUUUCCUUAGUAACGUAGCUAACGCUGAAGUUGACCGCCUGGGGAGUACGGUCGCAAGAUUAAAACUCAAAGGAAUUGACGGGGUCAUAGCUGUUUCCU